CCUACGGGGAGCUGCAGUGGGGGAUAUUGCACAAUGGGGGGAACCCUGAUGCAGCGACGCCGCGUGGGUGAAGAAGCGCCUCGGCGCGUAAAGCCCUGUCAGCAGGGAAGAAAAUGACGGUACCUGAAGAAGAAGCCCCGGCUAACUACGUGCCAGCAGCCGCGGUAAUACGUAGGGGGCAAGCGUUAUCCGGAUUUACUGGGUGGAAAGGGGGCGCAGACGGCGAUGCAAGCCAGGAGUGAAAGCCCGGGGCCCAACCCCGGGACUGCUCUUGGAACUGCGUGGCUGGAGUGCAGGAGGGGCAGGCGGAAUUCCUGGUGUAGCGGUGAAAUGCGUAGAGAUCAGGAGGAACACCGGUGGCGAAGGCGGCCUGCUGGACUGCAACUGACGUUGAGGCCCGAAAGCGUGGGGAGCAAACAGGAGUAGAUACCCUUGUAGUC
This 440-nucleotide ribosomal RNA is filed under the name uncultured bacterium. Its description in RNAcentral is "partial 16S ribosomal RNA". It matches the Rfam family "Bacterial small subunit ribosomal RNA", at positions 338 to 795 of the family's 1533-position model. The record is from RNAcentral.